RNAcentral lists this ribosomal RNA (602 nucleotides) under uncultured bacterium. RNAcentral describes it as "bacterial SSU rRNA". The stretch from base 1 to 517 matches the Rfam family "Bacterial small subunit ribosomal RNA", at positions 338 to 873 of the family's 1533-position model. The record is from RNAcentral.
CCUACGGGAGGCAGCAGUGGGGAAUAUUGGACAAUGGGCGCAAGCCUGAUCCAGCAAUGCCGCGUGAGUGAUGAAGGCCUUAGGGUCGUAAAGCUCUUUUACCAGGGAUGAUAAUGACAGUACCUGGAGAAUAAGCUCCGGCUAACUCCGUGCCAGCAGCCGCGGUAAUACGGAGGGAGCUAGCGUUGUUCGGAAUUACUGGGCGUAAAGCGUACGUAGGCGGUUAUUCAAGUCAGAGGUGAAAGCCCGGGGCUCAACCCCGGAACGGCCUUUGAAACUAGGUAGCUAGAAUCUUGGAGAGGUCAGUGGAAUUCCGAGUGUAGAGGUGAAAUUCGUAGAUAUUCGGAAGAACACCAGUGGCGAAGGCGACUGACUGGACAAGUAUUGACGCUGAGGUACGAAAGCGUGGGGAGCAAACAGGAUUAGAUACCCUGGUAGUCCACGCCGUAAACGAUGAUAACUAGCUGUUCGGGCACUUGGUGCUUGAGUGGCGCNGCUACGCAUUAAGUUAUCCGCCGUCGGGAGGUACGGUCGCAGAUUAAACUACAAAUAGAAGUUAGACGGCGUGAGACGUGCCGACGGACGACGACGAGGGAGGUAGG